This 516-nucleotide long non-coding RNA is filed under the name Rattus norvegicus (Norway rat). RNAcentral's name for it is "long non-coding RNA NONRATT005868". Lineage: Eukaryota; Metazoa; Chordata; Mammalia; Rodentia; Muridae. The record is from RNAcentral.
GCAAUUGUAAAACUCAGAUGAAACCAGAAGUUAAGCUGCAGAACUCCCAGCAUAAACAUUUGGUCUGUUAUUAAGUUCACUUUCACCAGCGAGACAAAGAAACACAAUCCCCCCAUUGUUCAGGGAAUGUUUAUGCAGUCCGGUGGCUUAGUCUGUAGAGGGUUCAAGUAGAAGUAAGGCUGUCUCCGUUGUGCCCUUUCUGGUCUACUAAAUGCUUUUAUUCUAAUGUGCCCCUUCUCAGCAUCCGUAUAGCCACUCUUACUGUGGGCGUGGUGUAUCGCAACAUCCUCGUAUCAGACCUGUCUCCACCUGUGGCCCCUUCAGUCCUUUUAACCCCCAGAGUCCUGUUCUCAAAUUCCUCCCGUGACAUUCAGAGUUAUUUGGUUUGUCAUGUCCCCGCAACCCUCCUCCCUGUGGCCACAGCUCCAGUAGUUUUACCUAAACUCAUUCUGUCUUUUGGUUCUGGGUUCCAACAACUGAUGACUACUGGCAGCUACUCAAAAAAAAAAAAAAAAA